GAUGAACGCUGGCGGCGUGCCUAAUACAUGCAAGUCGAGCGAACAGACGAGGAGCUUGCUCCUCUGACGUUAGCGGCGGACGGGUGAGUAACACGUGGAUAACCUACCUAUAAGACUGGGAUAACUUCGGGAAACCGGAGCUAAUACCGGAUAAUAUAUUGAACCGCAUGGUUCAAUAGUGAAAGACGGUUUUGCUGUCACUUAUAGAUGGAUCCGCGCCGCAUUAGCUAGUUGGUAAGGUAACGGCUUACCAAGGCAACGAUGCGUAGCCGACCUGAGAGGGUGAUGGGCCACCUUGGAACGGAGACCCGGUCCAGACUCCUAGGGGGGGCAGGAGAGGGAAAUCUGCCGAAUGGGCGGAAAUCCUGGAGGAGCAACGCCGGGGGGGGGAUAAAGGUUUUGGGAUGGUAAAAUUCUUUUAUUAGGGAAAAAAAAAUGGUAAAGUAACUAGGCACGUCUGGAGGGAACCUAUCAAGAAGGCCACGGCAAACUCCGG
RNAcentral lists this ribosomal RNA (496 nucleotides) under uncultured bacterium. Its description in RNAcentral is "partial 16S ribosomal RNA". It matches the Rfam family "Bacterial small subunit ribosomal RNA", at positions 28 to 506 of the family's 1533-position model. The record is from RNAcentral.